AGCACAAACUUGAGGUAGAGUAGUUUAGUAGGGUCAGAUGAUACUUCUAAUCUACUCUACUUCAAAUUUGGGUCC
Molecule: microRNA precursor, 75 nt
Filed under: Haemonchus placei
Lineage: Eukaryota; Metazoa; Nematoda; Chromadorea; Rhabditida; Trichostrongylidae
Description: mir-5928 microRNA precursor family
Rfam family: mir-5928 microRNA precursor family
Source: Rfam by way of RNAcentral